RNAcentral lists this small RNA (61 nucleotides) under Sinorhizobium meliloti 2011. RNAcentral's name for it is "putative ncRNA". The record is from RNAcentral. Lineage: Bacteria; Pseudomonadati; Pseudomonadota; Alphaproteobacteria; Hyphomicrobiales; Rhizobiaceae.
ACCGCCAUAAGGGCGCCAUCGGUCACGGAGAAUUCGUUCGGCUGGAGCGCAUGAUCGCGGA